CCUACGGGAGGCAGCAGUGGGGAAUUUUGGACAAUGGGGGCAACCCUGAUCCAGCCAUUCCGCGUGAGUGAAGAAGGCCUUCGGGUUGUAAAGCUCUUUUGUCGGGGACGAAACGGUUACGAUUAAUACUCGUGACAACUGACGGUACCCGAAGAAUAAGCACCGGCUAACUACGUGCCAGCAGCCGCGGUAAUACGUAGGGUGCGAGCGUUAAUCGGAAUUACUGGGCGUAAAGCGUGCGCAGGCGGUUUUGUAAGCCAGAUGUGAAAUCCCCGGGCUUAACCUGGGAAUGGCAUUUGGGACUGCAAGGCUAGAGUAUGGCAGAGGAGACUAGAAUUUCUGGUGUAGCAGUGAAAUGCGUAGAUAUCAGAAGGAAUACCGAUGGCGAAGGCAGGUCUCUGGGUCAAUACUGACGCUCAUGCACGAAAGCGUGGGGAGCAAACAGGAUUAGAUACCCUGGUAGUCCACGCCCUAAACGAUGUCAACUGGUUGUUGGGAGAUUUAUUCUCUUAGUAACGAAGCUAACGCGUGAAGUUGACCGCCUGGGGAGUACGGUCGCAAGAUUAAAACUCAAAGGAAUUGACGG
Molecule: ribosomal RNA, 586 nt
Filed under: uncultured bacterium
Lineage: Bacteria
Description: bacterial SSU rRNA
Rfam family: Bacterial small subunit ribosomal RNA
Source: RNAcentral